Molecule: long non-coding RNA, 271 nt
Filed under: Callithrix jacchus (white-tufted-ear marmoset)
Lineage: Eukaryota; Metazoa; Chordata; Mammalia; Primates; Cebidae
Description: lncRNA (ENSCJAG00000087249.1)
Source: RNAcentral
UUGAUUAAGUCGUAUCAUUAAUGUUGGCUUGAAAUCCUUCUUUAUAUUGCUGUUUUUAAACUACCUCUUUUUAUCGUUGCUAUAGGACAAUGCCAGAAUUUCUGUCUCCUAAAUGACUUUAAAAUGCUGUACACAUCAACAAGUGGGACAUAAAGUUAAGGGUAUAUUUAAGAAGACCCCUCUCUGCAUCAGAGAAGCUUUGACCAGAUUCCAAAUGAUGUAUGGGCUUCAUCUUUCCCUGGUGACUUCUCAAUAUGAAAGUGUGAACUGA